AUACGGAGGAUCCGAGCGUUAUCCGGAUUUAUUGGGUUUAAAGGGAGCGUAGGCGGACGCUUAAGUCAGUUGUGAAAGUUUGCGGCUCAACCGUAAAAUUGCAGUUGAUACUGGGUGUCUUGAGUACAGUAGAGGCAGGCGGAAAUCGUGGGGUAGCGGGGAAAUGCUUAGAUAUCACGAAGAACUCCGAUUGCGAAGGCAGCCUGCUGGACUGUAACUGACGCUGAUGCUCGAAAGUGUGGGUAUCAAACAGGAUUAGAUACCCUGGUAGUCCACACAGUAAACGAUGAAUACUCGCUGUUUGCGAUAUACAGUAAGCGGCCAAGCGAAAGCGUUAAGUAUUCCACCUGGGGAGUACGCCGGCAACGGUGAAACUCAAAUGAAUUGGCGGGG
This 393-nucleotide ribosomal RNA is filed under the name uncultured bacterium. Its description in RNAcentral is "partial 16S ribosomal RNA". It matches the Rfam family "Bacterial small subunit ribosomal RNA", at positions 523 to 918 of the family's 1533-position model. The record is from RNAcentral.